GCCACCAUAUACUUCAAUCAAUUUACGCAAAUACAAAUUCAUUGAAGACAGAGUGAGGUGUACAACUUUAUUAUAGUGUUUCUCGUUUCAUACAUAUAAAAUAAUAUCUGGCACUUCAAACAACAAAUAGAUCUGCUAAAUUAUUAUCUGAAAAUACACUCUUGCAAUGCUCAAACAAUGACUUAGCAGGUAAUGCUAGUAAUUAUGAUGAGUUAAGUUUAGAACUUAGUACAUCCAAUAUAGAUUUUAUUUAUCUAACUGCCAUGAACCCAUCAAAAUCAACAAGGUCUAAAUACUAACAGAUAAUAUAAAUCUAAGCAUGAUUAGAUAUAUAAGUUGAUAGUAUUGGUAACAUGCAGUGCAACAUACAUCAUCAAGUCUAUUUCAUAAGCAAAGUAUCGC
Long non-coding RNA from Quercus robur (English oak), 402 nucleotides. RefSeq lists it as uncharacterized. The transcript has 3 exons. Lineage: Eukaryota; Viridiplantae; Streptophyta; Magnoliopsida; Fagales; Fagaceae. The record is from RefSeq and is a predicted model, not a curated record.